CUUCUCUGCUUGCUGUUGUGUUGACUCAUCCCAGCAACUCCACAAAGACCAGAUGGCUUCUGCAUCAUCAUUUCUGAUGCCAAGCCUCUGCAGCUGCCUGAUUUGAAACCCUCUACAAGGAAAGACUAUUUCAAGAAACCUUUAGGUGCCAAAUCAAGUAAAAUGUCACAGACUUCAGGUUCAGUACAGCAGCACUUCUGAAACAUCAGUGUGCUCACAAAUCACCUGGAGGAACUUGUUAAAAUGCAGAUCAAAUUCAGCAGGUCUGGGGCGGAAUCUGAGUUUCUGCCUUUUUAACAAGCUCCUUGGUGAUGUCAAUGCUGCUGAUCCUCAGACUAUAUCUUGAGUAGUUAGGAAAUGAGACUUCACAUUUCCUGAAACCACACACCGUCUGCUGUAUUCCCGCAUUCCCAGCACCUAGCAUAGUAGAAAGCAAACAGAUG
Long non-coding RNA from Symphalangus syndactylus (siamang), 443 nucleotides. RefSeq lists it as uncharacterized. The record is from RefSeq and is a predicted model, not a curated record. NCBI's taxonomy places the organism in Eukaryota, Metazoa, Chordata, Mammalia, Primates, Hylobatidae.